AAUCCCAUUUAUUUGCUUCCAUGCUUUGUCAGUGGUAUGAGGAGUUAUACGCAUGGGAAAGACUACAAUAAAGUUCCCUGCAAAUUAGAGAUGAAAAUAUCAGUGUUUCAUCUCUCUUGCUGGGGCUGGACAGCU
Molecule: small nucleolar RNA, 135 nt
Filed under: Tinamus guttatus (white-throated tinamou)
Lineage: Eukaryota; Metazoa; Chordata; Aves; Tinamiformes; Tinamidae
Description: Small nucleolar RNA SNORA20
Rfam family: Small nucleolar RNA SNORA20
About the family: ACA20 is a member of the H/ACA class of snoRNA that guide the sites of modification of uridines to pseudouridines.
Source: Rfam by way of RNAcentral